AAUAGUGCAAUAUCUGUAUAAGUAGUGCAACAUAUGCAUUGUUAAUACACAUUUUGCAUGAUUUUUACACUAAAUUACGUACAGUUUAGUAUAUUACGUAAAAAUAAUAUAUAUAUAAGUAGUGCAACAUAUGCAUUGUUAAUACACAUUUUACAUAAUUUUUACACUAAAUACGUACAGUUUAAUAUAUUACGUAAAAAUAAUAUAAUAUAUUACAACAUACUAUAAAAAUUAUACAAUAUAUGUAAAAAUAGUACAUAUUUUAUACUAUUUGUACAGAUAUUUACACAAUUUGUGUAAACGUUGCACUAUUAUGAGAGCAUAUUACACUAUUUAGAUGGGUGUUGCACUCCUUCUUUUUUAAAAUUAAAUUUUAUUAUAUAUUAAAUAAAGUAUCAAAUUUUUUGAAAAUGAUAACUGCUAAGCCAUAAUUACAUAUACAUUUCUCGUGAAACGAGAAUCCUCAUUCAAGAAAAAAUAAAAAAUAAAAUUAAUAAGAUGAAAAAGUGCAACAUUCUCUCAAAUAGUGCAGCAUGCUCUACCAAAUAGUGCAAUAUCUGUAUAAGUAGUGCAACAUAUGCAUUAUUAAUACACAUUUUGCAUGAUUUUUACACUAAAUUACGUACAGUUUAGUAUAUUACGCGAAAAUAAUAUAAUAUAUUAUAACAUACUAUAAAAAUUAUACAAUAUAUGUAAAAAUGGUGCAUAUUUUACACUAUUUGUACAGAUAUUUACACCAUUUGUGUAAACGUUGCACUAUUAUGAGAGCAUAUUACACCAUUUAAAUGGGUGUUGCACUCUUUUUUUUUUUAAAAAUUAAAUUUCAUUGCAUAUUAAAUAAAGUGUCGAAUUUAUUAAAAAUGACAACUUGUAAGCCAUAAUUACAUGUACCCUUCUCGUGAAAUGAGAAACCUUAUUUAAGACAAAAUAAAAAAAAAUAAUAAUUAAUAAGAUGAAAGAGUGCAACAUUCUCUCAAAUAGUGCAACAUACUCUUCCAAAUAGUACAAUGUCUGUAUAAGUAGUGCAACAUAUGUAUUGUUAAUACACAUUUUGUAUGAUUUUUACAAUAAAUUACGUACAGUUUAGUAUAUUACGCAAAAAUAAUAUAAUAUAUUAUAAAAUGUGGUUAUAUUACGCAUAAUAUAUUAUAUUAUUUUCGCGUAAUAUACUAAACUGUAAGUAAUUUAGUGUAAAAAUAAUACAAAAUGUGUAUUAACAAUACAUAUGUUGCACUACUUAUACAGAGAUUGCACUAUUUGGAAGAGCAUGUUGCACUCUUUCAUUUUAUUAAUUAUUUUUUAUUUUUUUUAUUUUGUCUUGAAUGGGUUUCUCGUUUUACGAAAAAAUGUACAUGUAAUUAUGGCUUAACAGUUAUCAUUUUUAAAAAAUUCAACAUUUUAUUUAAUAUACAACAAAAUUUUAUUCCUUUUAUUUUGUCUUGAAUGAGAUUUCUCGUUUCACAAGAAAGGUACAUAUAAUUAUGGCUUAGCAAGAUACGUACAUAUAAAUAUAGCUUAGUAGUUGUCAUUUUUAAGAAAUUUGACACUUCAUUUAAUAUGCAAUGAAAUUUAAUUUUUAAAAAGAAAAAGUGUAACACACAUGUAAAUGGUGCAAUAUCCUCUCAUAAUAAUGCAAUGUUUACACAAAUGGUGCAAAUAUCUGUACAAAUAGAAUAAAAUAUGCACCGUUUGUACAUAUAUUGUAUAAUUUUUAUAGUAUGUUGUAAUAUAUUAUAUUAUUUUCACGUAAUAAAUUAAACUGUACGUAUUUAGUGUAAAAAUUAUGUAUAAUGCGUAUUAAUAAUGCAUAUGUUGCACUACUUAUACGGAUAUUGUACUAUUUGGAAGAGUAUGUUGCACUAUUUGAGAGGUUAUUGUACUCUUUCUUCUUAUUAAUUAUACUUUAUUUUUUUUUAUUUUUUUUCAUGUGGAUUUUCAUUUCACGAGAAAGGUAUAUGUAAUUAUGGCUUAGCAGUUGUCAUUUUCACAAAAUUUUAUAUUUAAUGACUUAGCAGCUGUAUUUUUCUAGACAUUUAAAGUACAUAAUUUUUAUAUAUUUUGAAAGAAGGAUACUUUAAUCAUCCUUCUGAAAAAUUCAAUCCGAAUCUGUAAAAUUUAAAAGAUAACUUAUUUUUGUAAAAACUUAAAACUAAUAGAUUUUUUAUGCAAAUUG
RNAcentral lists this long non-coding RNA (2173 nucleotides) under Ananas comosus (pineapple). Its description in RNAcentral is "long non-coding RNA (ACOM_LNC014924)". The record is from RNAcentral. Lineage: Eukaryota; Viridiplantae; Streptophyta; Magnoliopsida; Poales; Bromeliaceae.